UAAAAAGUAAAUAGAAUAAGUGAUGCUUUUAAAAAAGUAGAGAGGGAAGCUGGUGAAAGUCCAGCACGGUCGCGCCACUGUAAGGGAGAGUCGAGUUGUAAAAUAUCGUCACUGGAGGAUGCUAUCUGGGAAGACACAACUAUGACAAUGAUCCUGAGUCAGGAAACCUGCUUGUUCUAUAUUGAUGAA
This 189-nucleotide non-coding RNA is filed under the name Andreesenella formicacetica. Lineage: Bacteria; Bacillati; Bacillota; Clostridia; Peptostreptococcales; Natronincolaceae. The record is from RNAcentral.